AGUGAACGCUGGCGGUAGGCCUAACACAUGCAAGUCGAACGGCAGCACAGUAAGAGCUUGCUCUUACGGGUGGCGAGUGGCGGACGGGUGAGGAAUACAUCGGAAUCUACUUUUUCGUGGGGGAUAACGUAGGGAAACUUACGCUAAUACCGCAUACGACCUACGGGUGAAAGCAGGGGAUCUUCGGACCUUGCGCGACUGAAUGAGCCGAUGUCGGAUUAGCUAGUUGGCGGGGUAAAGGCCCACCAAGGCGACGAUCCGUAGCUGGUCUGAGAGGAUGAUCAGCCACACUGGAACUGAGACACGGUCCAGACUCCUACGGGAGGCAGCAGUGGGGAAUAUUGGACAAUGGGCGCAAGCCUGAUCCGGCCAUACCGCGUGGGUGAAGAAGGCCUUCGGGUUGUAAAGCCCUUUUGUUGGGAAAGAAAAGCAGCAGGUUAAUCCCGCGCUGUUCUGACGGUACCCAAAGAAUAAGCACCGGCUAACUUCGUG
RNAcentral lists this ribosomal RNA (492 nucleotides) under uncultured bacterium. RNAcentral's name for it is "partial 16S ribosomal RNA". It matches the Rfam family "Bacterial small subunit ribosomal RNA", at positions 29 to 507 of the family's 1533-position model. The record is from RNAcentral.